AUGGGUGCUCCCUUCAACAUACAGUAAAAUUAGAAUGAUACAGAGAAGACUAGUGUGGCCCCUGCAUAAGACAUAAAUUCGUGAAGCAUUAUGUAUUUUU
Molecule: small nuclear RNA, 100 nt
Organism: Loxodonta africana (African savanna elephant)
Lineage: Eukaryota; Metazoa; Chordata; Mammalia; Proboscidea; Elephantidae
Source: Ensembl